GGGUUGUGAGGUUAAGCGACUAAGCGUACACGGUGGAUGCCCUGGCAGUUAGAGGCGAUGAAGGACGUGCUAAUCUGCGAUAAGCGUCGGUAAGGUGAUAUGAACCGUUAUAACCGGCGAUUUCCGAAUGGGGAAACCCAGUGUGAUUCGUCACACUAUCAUUAACUGAAUCCAUAGGUUAAUGAGGCGAACCGGGGGAACUGAAACAUCUAAGUACCCCGAGGAAAAGAAAUCAACCGAGAUUCCCCCAGUAGCGGCGAGCGAACGGGGAGCAGCCCAGAGCCUGAAUCAGUGUGUGUGUUAGUGGAAGCGUCUGGAAAGGCGCGCGAUACAGGGUGACAGCCCCGUACACAAAAAUGCACAUACUGUGAGCUCGAUGAGUAGGGCGGGACACGUGGUAUCCUGUCUGAAUAUGGGGGGACCAUCCUCCAAGGCUAAAUACUCCUGACUGACCGAUAGUGAACCAGUACCGUGAGGGAAAGGCGAAAAGAACCCCGGCGAGGGGAGUGAAAAAGAACCUGAAACCGUGUACGUACAAGCAGUGGGAGCACAGAGCAAUCUGUGUGACUGCGUACCUUUUGUAUAAUGGGUCAGCGACUUAUAUUCUGUAGCAAGGUUAACCGAAUAGGGGAGCCGAAGGGAAACCGAGUCUUAACUGGGCGUUAAGUUGCAGGGUAUAGACCCGAAACCCGGUGAUCUAGCCAUGGGCAGGUUGAAGGUUGGGUAACACUAACUGGAGGACCGAACCGACUAAUGUUGAAAAAUUAGCGGAUGACUUGUGGCUGGGGGUGAAAGGCCAAUCAAACCGGGAGAUAGCUGGUUCUCCCCGAAAGCUAUUUAGGUAGCGCCUCGUGAAUUCAUCUCCGGGGGUAGAGCACUGUUUCGGCAAGGGGGUCAUCCCGACUUACCAACCCGAUGCAAACUGCGAAUACCGGAGAAUGUUAUCACGGGAGACACACGGCGGGUGCUAACGUCCGUCGUGAAGAGGGAAACAACCCAGACCGCCAGCUAAGGUCCCAAAGUCAUGGUUAAGUGGGAAACGAUGUGGGAAGGCCCAGACAGCCAGGAUGUUGGCUUAGAAGCAGCCAUCAUUUAAAGAAAGCGUAAUAGCUCACUGGUCGAGUCGGCCUGCGCGGAAGAUGUAACGGGGCUAAACCAUGCACCGAAGCUGCGGCAGCGACGCUGAUGCGUUGUUGGGUAGGGGAGCGUUCUGUAAGCCUGUGAAGGUGUACUGUGAGGUAUGCUGGAGGUAUCAGAAGUGCGAAUGCUGACAUAAGUAACGAUAAAGCGGGUGAAAAGCCCGCUCGCCGGAAGACCAAGGGUUCCUGUCCAACGUUAAUCGGGGCAGGGUGAGUCGACCCCUAAGGCGAGGCCGAAAGGCGUAGUCGAUGGGAAACAGGUUAAUAUUCCUGUACUUGGUGUUACUGCGAAGGGGGGACGGAGAAGGCUAUGUUGGCCGGGCGACGGUUGUCCCGGUUUAAGCGUGUAGGCUGGUUUUCCAGGCAAAUCCGGAAAAUCAAGGCUGAGGCGUGAUGACGAGGCACUACGGUGCUGAAGCAACAAAUGCCCUGCUUCCAGGAAAAGCCUCUAAGCAUCAGGUAACAUCAAAUCGUACCCCAAACCGACACAGGUGGUCAGGUAGAGAAUACCAAGGCGCUUGAGAGAACUCGGGUGAAGGAACUAGGCAAAAUGGUGCCGUAACUUCGGGAGAAGGCACGCUGAUAUGUAGGUGAAGCGACUUGCUCGUGGAGCUGAAAUCAGUCGAAGAUACCAGCUGGCUGCAACUGUUUAUUAAAAACACAGCACUGUGCAAACACGAAAGUGGACGUAUACGGUGUGACGCCUGCCCGGUGCCGGAAGGUUAAUUGAUGGGGUCAGCGCAAGCGAAGCUCUUGAUCGAAGCCCCGGUAAACGGCGGCCGUAACUAUAACGGUCCUAAGGUAGCGAAAUUCCUUGUCGGGUAAGUUCCGACCUGCACGAAUGGCGUAAUGAUGGCCAGGCUGUCUCCACCCGAGACUCAGUGAAAUUGAACUCGCUGUGAAGAUGCAGUGUACCCGCGGCAAGACGGAAAGACCCCGUGAACCUUUACUAUAGCUUGACACUGAACAUUGAGCCUUGAUGUGUAGGAUAGGUGGGAGGCUUUGAAGUGUGGACGCCAGUCUGCAUGGAGCCGACCUUGAAAUACCACCCUUUAAUGUUUGAUGUUCUAACGUUGACCCGUGAUCCGGGUUGCGGACAGUGUCUGGUGGGUAGUUUGACUGGGGCGGUCUCCUCCUAAAGAGUAACGGAGGAGCACGAAGGUUGGCUAAUCCUGGUCGGACAUCAGGAGGUUAGUGCAAUGGCAUAAGCCAGCUUGACUGCGAGCGUGACGGCGCGAGCAGGUGCGAAAGCAGGUCAUAGUGAUCCGGUGGUUCUGAAUGGAAGGGCCAUCGCUCAACGGAUAAAAGGUACUCCGGGGAUAACAGGCUGAUACCGCCCAAGAGUUCAUAUCGACGGCGGUGUUUGGCACCUCGAUGUCGGCUCAUCACAUCCUGGGGCUGAAGUAGGUCCCAAGGGUAUGGCUGUUCGCCAUUUAAAGUGGUACGCGAGCUGGGUUUAGAACGUCGUGAGACAGUUCGGUCCCUAUCUGCCGUGGGCGCUGGAGAACUGAGGGGGGCUGCUCCUAGUACGAGAGGACCGGAGUGGACGCAUCACUGGUGUUCGGGUUGUCAUGCCAAUGGCACUGCCCGGUAGCUAAAUGCGGAAGAGAUAAGUGCUGAAAGCAUCUAAGCACGAAACUUGCCCCGAGAUGAGUUCUCCCUGACCCUUUAAGGGUCCUGAAGGAACGUUGAAGACGACGACGUUGAUAGGCCGGGUGUGUAAGCGCAGCGAUGCGUUGAGCUAACCGGUACUAAUGAACCGUGAGGCUUAACCUUACAACGCCGAAGGUGUUU
RNAcentral lists this ribosomal RNA (2933 nucleotides) under Escherichia coli. Its description in RNAcentral is "bacterial LSU rRNA". It matches the Rfam family "Bacterial large subunit ribosomal RNA". The record is from RNAcentral. Lineage: Bacteria; Pseudomonadati; Pseudomonadota; Gammaproteobacteria; Enterobacterales; Enterobacteriaceae.